Molecule: ribosomal RNA, 474 nt
Filed under: uncultured bacterium
Lineage: Bacteria
Description: partial 16S ribosomal RNA
Rfam family: Bacterial small subunit ribosomal RNA
Source: RNAcentral
GAUGAACGCUAGCGGCAGGCCUAACACAUGCAAGUCGAGGGAUAAGCCUUCGGGCUGAAGCCGGCGCACGGGUGCGUAACGCGUAUACAAUCUGCCUUACACAUAGGGAUAGCUCGGGGUAAUUUGGAUUAAUACCUAAUGGUAUAUAAGAGUGGCAUCAUUUUUAUAUUAAAGCUUUGGUGGUGAAAGCUGAGGCGGCGUUCUAUUAGCUAGUUGGAGAGGUAAGGGCUCGCCAAGGCGACGAUAGCUAGGGGUUCUGAGAGGCAUGUCCCCCACACGGGUACUGAGAUACGGACCAGUAAGCUACGGGAGGGAGCAGUGAGGAAGAUUGGACAAUGGACGGAAGACUGAUCCAGCCAUGCCGCGUGCAGGAACACGGUGCUAGGGAUUGUAGACUGCUGGUGUAAGGGAGGAAUAGGGAGUACGUGUACUUUGAUGACGGUAACUUACGAAUAAGCAUCGGCUAACUCCGUG